This 484-nucleotide ribosomal RNA is filed under the name Cryptosporidium sp. Its description in RNAcentral is "SSU rRNA". It matches the Rfam family "Eukaryotic small subunit ribosomal RNA", at positions 514 to 1024 of the family's 1831-position model. Lineage: Eukaryota; Apicomplexa; Conoidasida; Eucoccidiorida; Cryptosporidiidae. RNAcentral also lists the same sequence under 3 other names. The record is from RNAcentral.
AUGAGUUAAGUAUAAACCCCUUUACAAGUAUCAAUUGGAGGGCAAGUCUGGUGCCAGCAGCCGCGGUAAUUCCAGCUCCAAUAGCGUAUAUUAAAGUUGUUGCAGUUAAAAAGCUCGUAGUUGGAUUUCUGUUAAUAAUUUAUAUAUAAUAUUUUAUGAUAUUUAUAUAAUAUUAACAUAAUUCAUAUUACUAUAUAUUUAUUAGUAUAUGAAAUUUUACUUUGAGAAAAUUAGAGUGCUUAAAGCAGGCAUUAGCCUUGAAUACUCCAGCAUGGAAUAAUAUAAAAGAUUUUUAUCUUUUUUAUUGGUUCUAAGAUAAAAAUAAUGAUUAAUAGGGACAGUUGGGGGCAUUUGUAUUUAACAGUCAGAGGUGAAAUUCUUAGAUUUGUUAAAGACAAACUAGUGCGAAAGCAUUUGCCAAGGAUGUUUUCAUUAAUCAAGAACGAAAGUUAGGGGAUCGAAGACGAUCAGAUACCGUCGUAGU